CCAUUAAUAACAUAAAGUUACAAAAUUAUACUUCUACACUAAAAUCAUCAUACUAUAAUAAUAGAGUACCAUACACCUAAUAGCAUAAAUUAUACUUAUAUAUACUAAAAUCAUUCCAUGAUAGUAGUUAAUAUCAUAUAACCUAAAAUCAUAAAUUAUAAACCAUAAAGUUACAAAUUUAUACUUGUAACCUCGAUUCCUUCUAUUUGUAUGCUUAACUUUGUCUCCUCCUUUAACAGUUAACUCAUAAGUUGGUUUCGGGAGACCAUUCUUAAAAUCACUGGGUUGAAUCAAUCCUCUCCAUAUUUCCAAACAAAUGUCUUCAGACCUUUUAAUUAUGAAAAGGGAAAAAAAGAAGAUAAACUCAGCUCAACAUAGAAGCAUAAUAAAAUUGACAACUUAGAGAAAAUAAAGCCUAGAAAUGACAACAAACAAUAUCAUAAAGCUGUCAAGAAAUUUCCAUAAUACUCAAUUGAAAUAAUCAACACAUCCACACUUUUCAAUACA
This 507-nucleotide long non-coding RNA is filed under the name Trifolium pratense (red clover). RNAcentral describes it as "long non-coding RNA (TPRA_LNC004394)". The record is from RNAcentral. Lineage: Eukaryota; Viridiplantae; Streptophyta; Magnoliopsida; Fabales; Fabaceae.